RNAcentral lists this long non-coding RNA (822 nucleotides) under Mytilus galloprovincialis (Mediterranean mussel). Lineage: Eukaryota; Metazoa; Mollusca; Bivalvia; Mytilida; Mytilidae. The record is from RNAcentral.
GAUUAUUAAGCCAAAUAUUUCAUGAUUAUUUGAUUACCUAGGACUGUAUUUUUAGUUUAUGAUUAUUUGAUUACUAAAGAUAAGCAAAUAUUUAAUGAUUAUGUGAUUAUAUUGGCAAAAAAAUGGUGAUUAUGUGAUUACUAGGACCCCCCCCCCCCAUGAGGGGCCUCACUACCCGUGAUGGUCUCGACUGAACCUGUGUGUUUCGAACGGUCUGUUUUAUGACAUUUGUUAUUUGUUUUGUAUGGAUGACGAAUUAAUAACGAUCAUGCCAAAUUUGUAUUGAUAACCAAGAAAAGCUGUUAUUAUGGCCCCCUUUUCACUAUUAUAAACAAGAUACAUCGACCCCAUAUAUACACUUCUUCUCUGUAGAGGCGAGUUGUAGUUGACCUCAAGGGAUUUUAAGGGGUUUUUAUCGAGUCUAGUACUUCCGGUUCGGUAUCCUGUAAAAUAGUUCUAAAACGAUGUUAAUAUUUUUUCUCAAGUCCUUUUAUUGUUUUCCUUUGUAUUGUGUUACUGAUGUAAGGGAGCUACCAUUUGAUUUUUAUGGGGGGGGCUAGGAUGAAAUUUGAAAAAAAAUAGGCAGGACAGGAGUUUUGAGUAAAAAAAAAAGCAGGAUGAGACACUUUGCAAAAAAAAAAAGGCAGGAUGAGACACUUUGCAAAAAAAAAAAGGCAGGAUGACAAUUUAUCUAGGUAAAAAAAGUCAGGAUAAACUAAUAAAAAAAAGGUAGGACCGAAUAGAGUGAAAAAUAAAAAGGCAGGACAAAGAUUACAACUAAAAAAAAAAUGCAGGACAAAAUUUUUCAUCCUAGCCCCCCCA